RNAcentral lists this unclassified non-coding RNA (200 nucleotides) under uncultured Steccherinum. RNAcentral describes it as "sequence contains ITS2". Lineage: Eukaryota; Fungi; Basidiomycota; Agaricomycetes; Polyporales; Steccherinaceae. The record is from RNAcentral.
UAUGCUCAAUCUCUACUGCUUUGCUGCGGUUGAGAUUGGACUUGGAGGCUUGCAGGCAGAUUUAGUUCUGUCUGCUCCUCUGAAAUGCAUUAGUUUGGACUGUCUCCGAGCAUGCUUCAGCGUGAUAAUUGUCUGCGCUGCUGCACUUGGUACAAAAAUGUCCCUGCUUACAACCGUCCCUUUGUGGACAACCUUUACAC